AGAUGUGAGGGAGAUCUGGCUGAGACAUCUGUUACCCCAUUGAUCACCAGGGUUGAUUCGACUGAUCUGACUGGCUAGGCAGGUGUCCCCUUCUUCCCUCAACGUUCCACGUGUGUCCCUCCUGAAGCUGCGGGCUUGGUUGAAGAGGAUGACCUUCCCAUAUAGAGGAGGACCAGUCUUUGGUCAAGGGUAUAUAAGUAGCUGCGCUCCCCUGCUAGAACCUCCAAACAAGCUCUCAAGACUAAAUACUUCUUGUCAUCCCAUUCUUUACCUUCUCCUUUCAUAGAAUUGUCUUUAAUGAAAACUGUUUAAAUAU
RNAcentral lists this small nuclear RNA (316 nucleotides) under Nannospalax galili (Upper Galilee mountains blind mole rat). RNAcentral describes it as "7SK RNA (ENSNGAG00000004255.1)". It matches the Rfam family "7SK RNA". Rfam says of the family: 7SK was discovered as an abundant small nuclear RNA in the mid-70s but a possible function has only recently been suggested. Two independent studies have found that 7SK RNA binds the CDK9/cyclin T complex (known as elongation factor P-TEFb). P-TEFb activates transcription by phosphorylating the C-terminal domain of RNA polymerase II. Lineage: Eukaryota; Metazoa; Chordata; Mammalia; Rodentia; Spalacidae. The record is from Rfam by way of RNAcentral.